AUUUGAAGUCCAUUCUAAGUGAUACUCGUGUCUUUGCCGUUACUGUAACCGACGCUCGAAACUGAGCUAGGCUCAUUCACUUUUGGUAUAAAAGCAAAGCGAGAAUUUGGCUAUUAUUUUAUAGCAACUAAUUAGAAAAACAAGACAGCAAAAGGCAGAGUAGCAACAAGUGAAAGACGUUUUGAAAGAGCAGGUAAACACGGGAACAGACAGUCGCGUGAAGAUAAUAAGAACCGCAAUCGUACCGAAGGGCGCAGAGGCCGCAAGAAAUACCAAACGAUCCAGAAUGCCAGGUCACUCACGCCUUUGGAUAUCGCAGGACGAACAUAUAGGACAAACUCGCACCAAACUCGUACUUGACAUUAUCGGUACUUUAACAUUGCUUCGUUUGGUAAUCUAGGGAUUACGUAACAGUGCUCAAAGCCAGAUAGAAGCAGGAAUCCGGAACGGAAGAACAGAUUACAAAUAACUCGAGGAGAGGUCAUCUGAAUUUCAAGCCAAGGGGCAACCCACCCCUUCCAGAAUUCUUUUUGCUCGGAGGGAGCGCAGCGACCGGAGCAAGUCUAAUCUUGGUAUCGCAUAUGCGAAAAGCUGAUUUUUCGUGUCCACACCACAGGCUUCCCAGUCGGCUGAUUUGUAUUUUUAUUUCAUGCUGAUCAGCGGUCUUUUCAGCGCAUGCGCGAGUUUCAUAUAGUGGAUGCGAUUUUUCGUGUCCACACCACAGGUUUCCCAUUUGGCUGAUUUGUAUUUUGAUUUCAUAUCGAUCAGUGGUCUUUUUCGAGAACCCCUGUACUGAAACAUCGUUCGUCCCGUCCUCCGAGCAUUCACUUUCUAUUAGAAACUUCUAGUUUAA
This is a long non-coding RNA of Nematostella vectensis (starlet sea anemone), 853 nucleotides long. RefSeq lists it as uncharacterized. Lineage: Eukaryota; Metazoa; Cnidaria; Anthozoa; Actiniaria; Edwardsiidae. The transcript has 2 exons. The record is from RefSeq and is a predicted model, not a curated record.